UAUAUUUGCGGCUCGUAAAAAAAACUACAUAAAAAUCAUUAAAAUUAAUAUUGGCAUG
Molecule: non-coding RNA, 58 nt
Submitted as: unclassified sequences
Source: Rfam